AUAGCUUCUCAGCCUCUUGGCUAAGAUCAAGUGUAGUAUCUGUUCUUAUCAGUUUAAAAGAGCGUAGUGAAACUUUCUAACAUUCAUAAAUCUUACUUGUGUGGGUCUCUAGGGCAAUCGCUUCCCAGGUUUGGGGGAAGGGCGUCUCCAGAGAAGAAGGCACUGAUCUCUCUGGAUCUGCA
Non-coding RNA from Myotis lucifugus (little brown bat), 182 nucleotides. The record is from Rfam. NCBI's taxonomy places the organism in Eukaryota, Metazoa, Chordata, Mammalia, Chiroptera, Vespertilionidae.